RNAcentral lists this ribosomal RNA (399 nucleotides) under uncultured bacterium. Its description in RNAcentral is "bacterial SSU rRNA". It matches the Rfam family "Bacterial small subunit ribosomal RNA", at positions 28 to 417 of the family's 1533-position model. The record is from RNAcentral.
GAUGAACGCUAGCGGCAGGCUUAAUUACAUGCAAGUCGAGGGGCAGCAUGACUGUAGCAAUACAGUCGAUGGCGACCGGCAAACGGGUGCGGAACACGUACACAACCUUCCUUUAAGUGGGGGAUAGCCCAGGGAACUUGGAUUAACUACCCCGUAAUACUAUGAAGUGGCAUCACUUUAUAUUUAUAGCUCAGGCGCUUAAUGAUGGGGUGUGCGGCUGAUUAGGUAGUUGGCGGGGUAACGGCCCACCAAGCCUGCGAUCAGUAACUGGUGUGAGAGCACGACCAGUCACACGGGCACUGAGACACGGGCCCGACUCCUACGGGAGGCAGCAGUAAGGAAUAUUGGUCAAUGGACGCAAAGUCUGAACCAGCCAUGCCGCGUGGAGGAUGAAGGUCC